AGCUCUCUGGAUGUACUGGAGGUGUUGAAAGUUGGGAUCAGCCCUAGCAAUGGCAACACAACCCUGCUGUCCUGAUGUGUCCCCACCACAGGUUAUGUAUCGUUACAGCAUAAAUUAUGGAAAGGGCUGGAAUUCCUGUUUGAGCAGCUUCAUGAAAAACUGAACUUUGACUGAACACAAACAGCAAAUAAAGUGGAAAACGAGAUAAAAAAUGAUGCAGGCCUCAGUUUCUUUGAAGGUGAAGUGACUGAUCCCAGGUGUCAGCACCUCAGAGACCUGCUCAGCCUUUUAUACGACUCUUGGACAGUUUAUAGACACCAGCUGACACCUGUAAAGUUCACCUGAAGCUGUUCAGAAGUUUAAAACGCCUCAUGGCAAUUUGUCUGGAACUUUUAAUGCACAAAAAGGCAAAAAUUGAUUAGAGUGGCUGAGGAACUCUUCUGUCCUGUCUUUAUAAAGUGGAUGUAAACCUGUCAGCUUUUACAGCUGUCCUCACGCUGCUUCAACUAAACAUAUAUUUGGAGAGGAGAUCUGGCAUUUCUCUGCCAGCCCAGAGUCCUGCUGCUCCUGGUGCCAGGUCCAGAGCAGGGAUGGGGUGUGAGGUAGCUUCUGCAGCAU
Empidonax traillii (willow flycatcher) is the source of this 618-nucleotide long non-coding RNA. RefSeq lists it as uncharacterized. The transcript is spliced from 3 exons. The record is from RefSeq and is a predicted model, not a curated record. NCBI's taxonomy places the organism in Eukaryota, Metazoa, Chordata, Aves, Passeriformes, Tyrannidae.